GGGGCUGUAGCUCAGCUGGGAGAGCACCUGGUUUGCAACCAGGGGGUCGUCGGUUCGAUCCCGUCCAGCUCCACCA
RNAcentral lists this transfer RNA (76 nucleotides) under Niveibacterium umoris. Its description in RNAcentral is "tRNA-Ala". It matches the Rfam family "tRNA". Rfam says of the family: Transfer RNA (tRNA) molecules are approximately 80 nucleotides in length. Their secondary structure includes four short double-helical elements and three loops (D, anti-codon, and T loops). The record is from RNAcentral. Lineage: Bacteria; Pseudomonadati; Pseudomonadota; Betaproteobacteria; Rhodocyclales; Rhodocyclaceae. RNAcentral also lists the same sequence under 1 other name.